ACCUGCUGAUGUUGAGGCCCAGCAAGUUUCACAGAAAGAAAGAAGCUGCAUCGUGAAUAGCCUAGGAGAUAUGGAGCCUCCAUCCUUCACCUUGUGUUAUCUGCUGAAACUGGAACGUCCAAGAAGACUGUCACUCACGUGCCUGGCACCUGGAUCGAGGGGUGCUAUGCAUGGAACUCCAGGAUUUGAAGAUUCAUGGGAAGAUUAGCUGUGGUUAUAAGAAGGAAUUGAAAACUCAAAAAUAGAAGAGAGCCUUGCACAUACUAGGAAAGUGCUCUGAGAGAGACUAUUAGAGAAACAGAAAAGCUCAAUACGGCUGCAACAAAGACAGAAAUGGAGGACAGACCUGGAGGUCUUACUGGGACCCCACCAGUAUCCCAAGAAACAGACAAAGGAUGACAUGCC
This 405-nucleotide long non-coding RNA is filed under the name Heterocephalus glaber (naked mole-rat). RNAcentral describes it as "lncRNA (ENSHGLG00100048633.1)". The record is from RNAcentral. Lineage: Eukaryota; Metazoa; Chordata; Mammalia; Rodentia; Bathyergidae.